Non-coding RNA from Aedes aegypti (yellow fever mosquito), 72 nucleotides. The record is from Rfam. NCBI's taxonomy places the organism in Eukaryota, Metazoa, Arthropoda, Insecta, Diptera, Culicidae.
GGCUCGGUAGCUUAGUUGGUAAAGUACUCGUCUAGCAUACAAGAAUCAAUGGUUCGAAUCUCAACUGAGCUC